UGGGGAAUAUUGGACAAUGGGCGAAAGCCUGAUCCAGCAAUGCCACGUGUGUGAAGAAGGCCUUCGGGUUGUAAAGCACUUUAGUUGGGGAGGAAGGUUUUAAGGUUAAUACCCUUAAAAUUUGACGUUACCCAAAGAAUAAGCACCGGCUAACUCCGUGCCAGCAGCCGCGGUAAUACGGAGGGUGCGAGCGUUAAUCGGAAUUACUGGGCGUAAAGCGCACGUAGGUGGCCAAUUAAGUCAGAUGUGAAAGCCCUGGGCUCAACCUGGGAACUGCAUUUGAUACUGGUUGGCUAGAGUAUGGUAGAGGGAAGAGGAAUUUCCGGUGUAGCGGUGAAAUGCGUAGAUAUCGGAAGGAACAUCAGUGGCGAAGGCGUCUUCCUGGACUAAUACUGACACUGAGGUGCGAAAGCGUGGGGAGCAAACAGGAUUAGAUACCCCCGUAGUCC
RNAcentral lists this ribosomal RNA (449 nucleotides) under uncultured prokaryote. RNAcentral describes it as "bacterial SSU rRNA". It matches the Rfam family "Bacterial small subunit ribosomal RNA", at positions 355 to 796 of the family's 1533-position model. The record is from RNAcentral.